Molecule: ribosomal RNA, 254 nt
Filed under: uncultured bacterium
Lineage: Bacteria
Description: partial 16S ribosomal RNA
Rfam family: Bacterial small subunit ribosomal RNA
Source: RNAcentral
GACGAACCGUGCGAACGUUAUUCGGAAUCACUGGGCUUAAAGCGCGUGUAGGCGGGAGGGCACGUCCGUUGCUGAAAUCCCCCGGCUCAACCGGGGAACGGGCGCGGAUACGACUCUCCUUGAGGGGCGUAGGGGGACCUGGAACUUCCGGUGGAGCGGUGAAGUGCGUUGAGAUCGGAAGGAACGCCCGUGGCGAAAGCGAGGUCCUGGACGCCUACUGACGCUGAGACGCGAAAGCCAGGGGAGCGAACGGG